This 484-nucleotide ribosomal RNA is filed under the name uncultured bacterium. Its description in RNAcentral is "partial 16S ribosomal RNA". It matches the Rfam family "Bacterial small subunit ribosomal RNA", at positions 30 to 507 of the family's 1533-position model. The record is from RNAcentral.
AUUGAACGCUGGCGGCAGGCCUAACACAUGCAAGUCGAGCGGAGGAAGGGAGCUUGCUCCUGGAGUCAGCGGCGGACGGGUGAGUAAUGCCUAGGAAUCUGCCUGGUAGUGGGGGAUAACGCCCGGAAACGGGCGCUAAUACCGCAUACGGCCUGAGGGUGAAACAGAGGGAUCUUCGGACCCCACGCUCGCAGAUGAACCCAGGUCGGAUUUGCUAGUUGGUGGGGUAAGGGCCUCCCAAGGCUACGAUCCGGAACUGGUCUGAGAGGAUGAUUCGUCACACUGGAACUGAGACACGGUCCAGACUCCUACGCUAGGCCGCAGUGGGGAAUAUUGGACAAUGGGCGAAAGCCUGAUCCAGCCCUGCCGCGUGUGUGAAGAUGGUCUUCGGAUUGUAAAGCACUGUAAGUUGGGAGGAAGGGCAGUAAGUUAAUACCUUGCUGUUUUGACGUUACCAACAGAAUAAGCACCGGCUAACUUCGUG